RNAcentral lists this ribosomal RNA (522 nucleotides) under Paecilomyces variotii. RNAcentral describes it as "partial large subunit ribosomal RNA". It matches the Rfam family "Eukaryotic large subunit ribosomal RNA", at positions 94 to 631 of the family's 3401-position model. Lineage: Eukaryota; Fungi; Ascomycota; Eurotiomycetes; Eurotiales; Thermoascaceae. The record is from RNAcentral.
UGAAGCGGCAAGAGCUCAAAUUUGAAAUCUGGCCCCUCCGGGGUCCGAGUUGUAAUUUGCAGAGGAUGCUUCGGGCGCGGUCCCCGUCUAAGUACCCUGGAACGGGUCGUCAUAGAGGGUGAGAAUCCCGUCUGGGACGGGUGGCCGUGUCCGUGUGAAGCUCCUUCGACGAGUCGAGUUGUUUGGGAAUGCAGCUCUAAAUGGGUGGUAAAUUUCAUCUAAAGCUAAAUAUUGGCCGGAGACCGAUAGCGCACAAGUAGAGUGAUCGAAAGAUGAAAAGCACUUUGAAAAGAGAGUUAAACAGCACGUGAAAUUGUUGAAAGGGAAGCGCUUGCGACCAGACUCGCCCGCGGGGGUUCAGCCGGUACUCGUACCGGUGUACUCCCCCGGGGGCGGGCCAGCGUCGGUUUGGGCGGUCGGUCAAAGGCCUCCGGAAUGUGUCGCCCCCCGGGGCGUCUUAUAGCCGGAGGUGCAAUGCGGCCAGCCUGGACCGAGGAACGCGCUUCGGCUCGGACGCUGGCG